ACAUGCAAGUCGAGCGGAAACGAUGGUAGCUUGCUACCAGGCGUCGAGCGGCGGACGGGUGAAUAACGCGUGAGAAUCUGCCCAUUUGUGGGGGAUAACUCGGGGAAACUCGAGCUAAUACCGCAUAAUCCCUACGGGGGAAAACAGGGGACCUUCGGGCCUUGUGCAGAUGGAUGAGCUCGCGUCGGAUUAGCUUGUUGGUGAGGUAAAGGCUCACCAAGGCGACGAUCCGUAGCUGGUCUGAGAGGAUGAUCAGCCACACCGGGACUGAGACACGGCCCGGACUCCUACGGGAGGCAGCAGUGGGGAAUCUUGGACAAUGGGGGCAACCCUGAUCCAGCCAUGCCGCGUGUGUGAAGAAGGCCUUCGGGUUGUAAAGCACUUUCAGUAGGGAGGAAGGCUUACCGCUAAUAACGGUGAGUACUUGACGUUACCUACAGAAGAAGCACCGGCUAAUUUCGUGCCAGCAGCCGCGGUAAUACGAAAGGUGCGAGCGUUAAUCGGAAUUACUGGGCGUAAAGCGCGCGUAGGCGGUUUGUUAAGUCAGAUGUGAAAGCCCCGGGCUCAACCUGGGAAUUGCAUUUGAAACUGGCAGGCUAGAGUGCAGUAGAGGGAGGUGGAAUUUCCGGUGUAGCGGUGAAAUGCGUAGAGAUCGGAAGGAACACCAGUGGCGAAGGCGGCCUCCUGGACUGACACUGACGCUGAGGUGCGAAAGCGUGGGGAGCAAACAGGAUUAGAUACCCUGGUAGUCCACGCCGUAAACGAUGUCUACUAGUCGUUGGGAAUCUUAGUAUUCUUGGUGACGAAGUUAACGCGAUAAGUAGACCGCCUGGGGAGUACGGCCGCAAGGUUAAAACUCAAAUGAAUUGACGGGGGCCCGCACAAGCGGUGAGCAUGUGUUUAAUUCGAUGCAACGCGAAGAACCUUACCAGCCUUGACAUCCUUGGAACUUUCUAGAAGAUAGAUUGUGCUUCGGAGCCAAGUGACAGUUGCUGCAUGCUGUCGUCAGCUCGUGUCGUGAGAUGUUGGGUUAAGUCCCGUACGAGCGCAACCCUUGUCCCUAGUGCAGCACUUCGUGACUCUAGAGACUGCCGUUGACAAACGGAAGAGUUGGGACGACGUCAAGUCUACUAUGGCUUA
Molecule: ribosomal RNA, 1140 nt
Filed under: uncultured Alcanivorax sp.
Lineage: Bacteria; Pseudomonadati; Pseudomonadota; Gammaproteobacteria; Oceanospirillales; Alcanivoracaceae
Description: bacterial SSU rRNA
Rfam family: Bacterial small subunit ribosomal RNA
Source: RNAcentral